AUGGCUCAGGAUGAACGCUGGCGGCGUGCCUAAUACAUGCAAGUGAAACGGGUAUCUUCGGAUACCAGUCGCGGACGGGUGAGUAAUACAUAGGCAACCUGCCUUUAUGAGGGGGAUAACCGAGGGAAACUUUGGCUAAUACCGCAUGAAGACUCUAAGGCAUCUUAGAGGGAUAAAAGUUGGGAAACAACGCAUGAAGAUGGGCUUAUGGCGCAUUAGCUAGUUGGUGAGAUAGAAGCCCACCAAGGUAAUGAUGCGUAGCCGACCUGAGAGGGUGAACGGCCACAUUGGGACUGAGACACGGCCCAAACUCCUACGGGAGGCAGCAGUAGGGAAUUUUCGGCAAUGGGGGGAACCCUGACCGAGCAACGCCGCGUGAAGGAAGAAGGUUUUCGGAUUGUAAACUUCUGUUAUAAGGGAAGAACGGAUUGGAUAGGGAAUGAUCUGAUAGUGACGGUACCUUAUUAGAAAGCCACGGCUAACUACGUGCCAGCCGCUGC
Molecule: ribosomal RNA, 500 nt
Filed under: uncultured bacterium
Lineage: Bacteria
Description: bacterial SSU rRNA
Rfam family: Bacterial small subunit ribosomal RNA
Source: RNAcentral